Molecule: ribosomal RNA, 650 nt
Filed under: Escherichia coli
Lineage: Bacteria; Pseudomonadati; Pseudomonadota; Gammaproteobacteria; Enterobacterales; Enterobacteriaceae
Description: partial 23S ribosomal RNA
Rfam family: Bacterial large subunit ribosomal RNA
Source: RNAcentral
UGGUGGGUAGUUUGACUGGGGCGGUCUCCUCCUAAAGAGUAACGGAGGAGCACGAAGGUUGGCUAAUCCUGGUCGGACAUCAGGAGGUUAGUGCAAUGGCAUAAGCCAGCUUGACUGCGAGCGUGACGGCGCGAGCAGGUGCGAAAGCAGGUCAUAGUGAUCCGGUGGUUCUGAAUGGAAGGGCCAUCGCUCAACGGAUAAAAGGUACUCCGGGGAUAACAGGCUGAUACCGCCCAAGAGUUCAUAUCGACGGCGGUGUUUGGCACCUCGAUGUCGGCUCAUCACAUCCUGGGGCUGAAGUAGGUCCCAAGGGUAUGGCUGUUCGCCAUUUAAAGUGGUACGCGAGCUGGGUUUAGAACGUCGUGAGACAGUUCGGUCCCUAUCUGCCGUGGGCGCUGGAGAACUGAGGGGGGCUGCUCCUAGUACGAGAGGACCGGAGUGGACGCAUCACUGGUGUUCGGGUUGUCAUGCCAAUGGCACUGCCCGGUAGCUAAAUGCGGAAGAGAUAAGUGCUGAAAGCAUCUAAGCACGAAACUUGCCCCGAGAUGAGUUCUCCCUGACCCUUUAAGGGUCCUGAAGGAACGUUGAAGACGACAACGUUGAUAGGCCGGGUGUGUAAGCGCAGCGAUGCGUUGAGCUAACCGGUACUA